AAUGAUCGUGAAAGUGCCUCAAGUAUUGAUUUUGGCGUUACAAAUAAAUUUUAGCAAAUAGACGAAUUCGCAAAUACAGAAUCCGCAAAUAGUG
Molecule: non-coding RNA, 94 nt
Organism: Ceratotherium simum simum (southern white rhinoceros)
Lineage: Eukaryota; Metazoa; Chordata; Mammalia; Perissodactyla; Rhinocerotidae
Source: RefSeq, a predicted model, not a curated record